Molecule: ribosomal RNA, 209 nt
Filed under: uncultured Acidithiobacillus sp.
Lineage: Bacteria; Pseudomonadati; Pseudomonadota; Acidithiobacillia; Acidithiobacillales; Acidithiobacillaceae
Description: partial 16S ribosomal RNA
Rfam family: Bacterial small subunit ribosomal RNA
Source: RNAcentral
CGCGUAGGCGGUGGGUUACGUCUGCCGUGAAAUCCCCGGGCUCAACCUGGGAAUGGCGGUGGAAACGGGCUGACUAGAGUAUGGGAGAGGGUGAUGGAAUUCCAGGUGUAGCGGUGAAAUGCGUAGAGAUCUGGAGGAACAUCAGUGGCGAAGGCGGUCACCUGGCCCAAUACUGACGCUGAGGCGCGAAAGCGUGGGGAGCAAAACAG